AUUGAAUGCUGGCGGCAUGCCUUACACAUGCAAGUCGAACGUGAAAGGGGGGCAACCCCCGAGUAGAGUGGCGGACGGGUGAGUAACACAUCGGAACGUACCCAGUAGUGGGGAACAACCUCGAGAAAUCGAGGCUAAUACCGCAUACGACCCACGGGUGAAAGCGGGGGACCGCAAGGCCUCGCGCUAUUGGAGCGGCCGAUGUCCGAUUAGCUUGUUGGCGGGGUAAGAGCCCACCAAGGCGACGAUCGGUAGCUGGUCUGAGAGGAUGAUCAGCCACACUGGGACUGAGACACGGCCCAGACUCCUACGGGA
This 315-nucleotide ribosomal RNA is filed under the name uncultured bacterium. RNAcentral describes it as "bacterial SSU rRNA". It matches the Rfam family "Bacterial small subunit ribosomal RNA", at positions 29 to 346 of the family's 1533-position model. The record is from RNAcentral.